CCUACCGAUGCGUCCGAUCUUCAUCCCAGAUCGAGCCAAAGCUCUGAGAGCCGACUGAGCUCCAGGACCAGGAGUCUUCGUCCUGCAACAAACAGAGAGUCAGUUACCUGGACAGGUAAACGCUCUGCUAGCCUCGUCUGGACAGGUAAACGCCCUGCUAGCCUCACCUGGACAGGUAAACGCUCUGCUAGCCUCACCUGGACAGGUAAACGCCCUGCUAGCCUCACCUGGGCAGGUAAACGCUCUGCUAGCCUCACCUGGACAGGUAAACGCUCUGCUAGCCUCGUCUGGACAGGUAAACGCCCUGCUAGCCUCACCUGGGCAGGUAAACGCUCUGCUAGCCUCACCUGGACAGGUAAACGCCCUGCUAGCCUCACCUGGGCAGGUAAACGCCCUGCUAGCCUCACCUGGGCAGGUAAACGCCCUGCUAGCCUCACCUGGGCAGGUAAACGCCCU
Molecule: long non-coding RNA, 456 nt
Organism: Acanthochromis polyacanthus (spiny chromis)
Lineage: Eukaryota; Metazoa; Chordata; Actinopteri; Pomacentridae
Exons: 4
Source: RefSeq, a predicted model, not a curated record